Molecule: ribosomal RNA, 221 nt
Filed under: Nomamyrmex esenbecki
Lineage: Eukaryota; Metazoa; Arthropoda; Insecta; Hymenoptera; Formicidae
Description: partial large subunit ribosomal RNA
Source: RNAcentral
GAAUUUUAUUAAUAUUAAAUUAUUAAAGAAGGUUGAUAAAUUUAAUAUUUAUUUGAUUGGGGGGAUAUUUAAAUUAAUAAAACUUUAAAUUAAUUAAUGACAUUGAUUAAUGGAUUAGUUUAAUAUAUUAAAUGAUUUAAAUUAUGUUAAUAAAAGAAUAAAUUACCUUAGGGAUAACAGCAUAAUAUUUUUAGAGAGUUCAUAUUGAUAAAAAUGUUUGU